GUGGGGAAUCUUAGACAAUGGGCGCAAGCCUGAUCUAGCCAUGCCGCGUGAGCGAUGAAGGCCUUAGGGUUGUAAAGCUCUUUCGCUGGGGAAGAUAAUGACUGUACCCAGUAAAGAAGCCCCGGCUAACUCCGUGCCAGCAGCCGCGGUAAUACGGAGGGGGCUAGCGUUGUUCGGAAUUACUGGGCGUAAAGCGCGCGUAGGCGGAUUGGAAAGUUGGGGGUGAAAUCCCGGGGCUCAACCUCGGAACUGCCUUCAAAACUCCCAGUCUUGAGUUCGAGAGAGGUGAGUGGAACUGCGAGUGUAGAGGUGAAAUUCGUAGAUAUUCGCAAGAACACCAGUGGCGAAGGCGGCUCACUGGCCCGAUACUGACGCUGAGGUGCGAAAGCGUGGGGAGCAAACAGGAUUAGAAACCCUAGUAGUCC
This 425-nucleotide ribosomal RNA is filed under the name uncultured bacterium. RNAcentral's name for it is "partial 16S ribosomal RNA". It matches the Rfam family "Bacterial small subunit ribosomal RNA", at positions 354 to 796 of the family's 1533-position model. The record is from RNAcentral.